RNAcentral lists this ribosomal RNA (292 nucleotides) under uncultured eukaryote. Its description in RNAcentral is "partial 18S ribosomal RNA". It matches the Rfam family "Eukaryotic small subunit ribosomal RNA", at positions 6 to 227 of the family's 1831-position model. The record is from RNAcentral.
GGUUGAUCCUGCCAGUAGUCAUAUGCUUGUCUCAAAGAUUAAGCCAUGCAUGUCUAAGUAUAAACGAGAUCAUACAGUGAGACUGCGGAUGGCUCAUUAAAUCAGUUAUAGUUUAUUUGAUGGUUCCUUUUUCACCACUUGGAUAACCGUGGUAAUCCUAGAGCUAAUACAUGCACAAAACCUCAACUGGGGGAGGAGUGUUCUUUUAGCUUCCGAGCAGCAAUGUUAGGUUGUUAAAAGAGCACUUCAUAAGCUCCCGGAAGAGGCGUAUUUAUUAGGUACAAAACCGGCG